RNAcentral lists this ribosomal RNA (301 nucleotides) under uncultured bacterium. RNAcentral's name for it is "partial 16S ribosomal RNA". It matches the Rfam family "Bacterial small subunit ribosomal RNA", at positions 509 to 809 of the family's 1533-position model. The record is from RNAcentral.
CAGUAGCCGCGGGAAUACGAAGGGUGCAAGCGUUACUCGGAAUUACUGGGCGUAAAGCGUGCGUAGGUGGUGGUUUAAGUCCGUUGUGAAAGCCCUGGGCUCAACCUGGGAAUUGCAGUGGAUACUGGGUCACUAGAGUGUGGUAGAGGAUAGUGGAAUUUCCGGUGUAGCAGUGAAAUGCGUAGAGAUCGGAAGGAACAUCUGUGGCGAAGGCGACUAUCUGGGCCAACACUGACGCUGAGGCACGAAAGCGUGGGGAGCAAACAGGAUUAGAUACCCCGGUAGUCCCUGUCUCUUAUAA